This 2088-nucleotide long non-coding RNA is filed under the name Musa acuminata (dwarf banana). Its description in RNAcentral is "long non-coding RNA (MACU_LNC009929)". Lineage: Eukaryota; Viridiplantae; Streptophyta; Magnoliopsida; Zingiberales; Musaceae. The record is from RNAcentral.
UCCUAUAAUUGCUCUGAUAUGUCUUAUUGCAAGUUCCCUGAUCGUUUCUCCUAUAAUUGCUCUGAUAUUUCUUACUGCAAGUUCCCUGAUCGUUUCUCCUAUAAUUGCUCUGAUAUUUCUUAUUGCAAGUUUCCUGAUCAUUUCUCCUGUAAUUGUUCUAAUCUUUCCUAUUGCAAGUAUCCUGAUCUUUCCUCACUGCAAUUUUAUCUCUACAUUUGCUUUGAAUAUGAGGAACUUUGAAUUGUUCUAACCUUGUAUUUGAUUUAUCUCCUGUUUAGACGUAACGAUUCGAAUCUGUGCAACUUUUGAGAUUCUGACCUUUUGAUACCGAGCUGCCUAUAAGUCUUUGUUGGAAACUCUGAUUUGUUCAAAACUAAUUUCAUUGGAAACUAGACUCGUAGAUCUUUCUUUGAUAUAUGAAUUGAAAGAUUUGGAAUCCAAACACCUGCCCAGUUAUCUAUUGAAUCUGACAUUACGAAUUCUGCCAAACAGAGAUUUUGUUCUACGACCCUUGUUUACCAAAUUAUUUGUAACUCUCUCUGUUGGAUAGUUCAAUUCAUAUGAAGCCUGUCUUAUCUGAAAGUAUUAUCCAAUGAUUAUUUCUGAGUAAAUUGGAGCACGAUUGAUAGUUUGAAUCAUUUGUUCAAUGUGCCUCUUGUAUUCUGCUAGAAAUCGAGCUUUGGUCGAUUUCUCAUAUUCUCGUUUCAUUCCUUUGGAAAUUGAUAUCCUUUAGCUUUCUUAUUUGAAUUGAGCUAAAUAUGAUUGUUUGGAAUCCCUGUAUACUCUUGCUUUCAUUUCAUUCCAAAUCUGAAUACAUUUGUGAGAGAUUGUUGCUUGCAUCAUAUUUGACUCGUAAAGGUACAUGUACGUUUGUUGUUCCGCGUGUGCUUCCGAUAUAUGCUAUUUAUUGUUCAUACUGCCCUUUUGUACUCUGGUGUUUGUGGGACUGUCUGGACCUUUGCCAGAAAUGGUAAAGGGUGUUAUUCUGGACCUUUGCCAGAAAUGGUAAAGGGUAUGUGCUUAGAGCCUACGAUGCUCUAGAUUAUGUCUGGUGGUCAUUCAGAAAUGGAUGUAUCACGUUCUGUUUGAGGUCCCACUACACCAUCUAUAUGUUUGAUAUGAUAUCCAGAGCUUUGGUUAUGUGUUUUUGUACAUGCUCUGGAUAAGAAUGAUAUGAUUGCAACGUCAAGGACGACGAUCGAGCUUUGGUCGAUUUCUCAUAUUCUGGUUUCAUUCCUUUGGAAAUUGAUAUCCUUUAGCCUUCUUAUUCAAUUGAGCUUUAUAUUACUGCUUUGAAAUCUUGUAUGCUCUUGUCCUUAAAAUUAUUUGCAUUCUUGAAACUAUUGUGUAACGUUUAUGCUAUAUCGUAUUGACUCACAUAGGCACAUGUGUAUCCCAUUGUUCCGCAUUUGCUUCCGAUAUGUGCCUAUUCCAUUUCAUUCCUAAUAUGAAUACAUUUGUGAGAGAUUUGUUCCUUGCAUCAUAUUGUCUUGAAAAGGCACAUGUACGUUUUGUUGUUCUGCGUGUGCUUCCGAUAUAUGCUACUUAUUGUUGAAACUGCUCUCUUGUACUAUGGUGUGUGGGAUUGUCUGGACCUUUGCCAGAAAUGGUAAAGGGUAUGCGCUUAUUGCCCACUAUGUGGGGUCCCGCUAUGUGGGAUAUUCUGGACCCUUGCCAGAAAUGGUAAAGGGUAUGCGCUUAUUGCCCGCUAUUUGGGGUCCCGCUAUGUGGGAUAUUCUGGACCUUUGCCAGAAAUGGUAAAGGGUAUGUGCUUAGAGCCUGCGAUGCUCUGCCGGCCCCUCUGACUUCACCUAGACGUGGGUGGAUGGAGCUCCCAGACGUGGGAGACUUUUGUCAGGUGGUCAUUCAGAAAUGGAUGAAUCACAUUCUGACUGAGAUCCCACUACACCUUCUAUAUGUUUGAUAUGAUAUCCAGAGCUUUGGUUAUGUGUUUCUGUACAUGCUUUGGAUAAGAUUGAUAUGUUUGCAACGUCAAAGAUGACGUUUGAGCUUCUGAACGGUAUUUGUUAUUGAUAUGCUCUGAAAUGUUUCAUCCACUGUUGAUAUGUUUCGAAAUGUUCCAUAUGU